Molecule: ribosomal RNA, 712 nt
Filed under: bacterium enrichment culture clone XJ25
Lineage: Bacteria
Description: bacterial SSU rRNA
Rfam family: Bacterial small subunit ribosomal RNA
Source: RNAcentral
GCGGCGUGCUUUAAAAUGCAAGUCGAACGGUAAGGCCCCAGCUUGCUGGGGUACACGAGUGGCGAACGGGUGAGUAACACGUGGGUGACCUGCCCCGCACUUCGGGAUAAGCCUGGGAAACUGGGUCUAAUACCGGAUAAGACCGCACCGUGAGGGUGUGGUGGAAAGUUUUUCGGUGUGCGAUGGGCCCGCGGCCUAUCAUCUUGUUGGUGGGGUAAUGGCCUACCAAGGCGGCGACGGGUAGCCGGCCUGAUAGGGUGGACAGCCACCUUGGGACUGAUACACGGCCCACACUCCUACGGGAGGAAGCAGUGGGGAAUAUUGCUCAAUGGGGGGAAGCCUGAUGCAGCGACGCCGCGUGGGGGAUGACGACCUUCUGGUUGUUGACUCCUUUCUUCAUCGACGAAGGUUUUCUGACGGUAGAUGGAGAAGAAGCACCGGCUAACUACUUGCCACCAGCCGCGGUAAUACGUAGGGUGCGAGCGUUGUCCGGAAUUACUGGGGGUAAAAAGCUCGUAGGUGGUUUGUCGCGUCGUCUGUGAAAUUCCGGGGCUUAACUCCUGGCGUGCACGCGAUACAGGCAUAACUUGAGUACUGUAAGGGAGACUGGAAUUCCUGGUGUAACCGUGAAAUGCGCAGAUAUCAAGAGGAACACCGGUGGGGAAAGCGGGACUCCGGGCGUAACUGAAGCUGAAGAACCAAAGCGUGGGUA